AGGGUUGAGGUAUCAACAGCUGGAAGAACUGAGAUUGAGAAAUGCUCGAAAACUCCAUCAGAACAGUUUAUCAUUCCGACUGAAGCAAAGGAGAUAACAGACAUUCCUAACAUUGUACCAGAGGAGGCGAUUAUUGAGGAGCAGAUAGUGGAGUUCAGUGUCACCAUAGCAGACUCUGGCUACAGUGAACUUGUUCUGAGUGACCCUGCAGCUCCCCAGUACCAUGACAUCACACAAGAUCUCCAU
This is a long non-coding RNA of Oncorhynchus tshawytscha (Chinook salmon), 246 nucleotides long. RefSeq lists it as uncharacterized. Lineage: Eukaryota; Metazoa; Chordata; Actinopteri; Salmoniformes; Salmonidae. The record is from RefSeq and is a predicted model, not a curated record. The transcript is spliced from 3 exons.